Molecule: RNase P RNA, 401 nt
Filed under: Pyrinomonadaceae bacterium
Lineage: Bacteria; Pseudomonadati; Acidobacteriota; Blastocatellia; Blastocatellales; Pyrinomonadaceae
Description: RNase P RNA component class A
Rfam family: Bacterial RNase P class A
About the family: Ribonuclease P (RNase P) is a ubiquitous endoribonuclease, found in archaea, bacteria and eukarya as well as chloroplasts and mitochondria. Its best characterised activity is the generation of mature 5'-ends of tRNAs by cleaving the 5'-leader elements of precursor-tRNAs. Cellular RNase Ps are ribonucleoproteins.
Source: RNAcentral
GGGGCAUACCGGACGGUCGCUGGGAUCUCGGUCUCAGAGGAAAGUCCGAACACCAAAGGGCAGCGAGCCGGAUAACGUCCGGGCACUCGUUCUAUGCGAGUGACGACAAGUGCAACAGAGAAUAGACCGGCCCGAAAGGGUGAUGGGUGAAACGGUGAGGUAAGAGCUCACCGGCAUCGGUGGUAACACACGAUGGCCAGGCAAACUCCUCGUGGUGCAAGACCAAAUAGGGAAACGCGAUCGGGCUGCCCGUCCGAGCGUCGGCUUUGGCCGGCAGCGUUUCCGGGUAGGUCGCUUGAGCCGUUCGGUAACGGACGGCCUAGAUGAAUGAUCGUCAUCGGCGAGCAGUCCGAAAGGAAACCUCGGCGAUACAAAAUUCGGCUUAUAGGUAUGCCUCAUAG